AUGAUGUGUAUGAUAUACCAGUCUCUACUUUUAUCCAAUGUAAAAUACUGAAUUUCAUAUGUUGCUACCUAAGACCGAAUCCAGGUGGCAAGAAUGCAGCCUACACAAUAAUUAACUCAUAUUGGUAGCCAUCUAGAUGUCACCGUGAUAUAGUCUACUAGUCAAUUGGGAGAGCAUGGACGGCAACCACACCAGGACACAGUGACCUCCUCAACCCUGUGGGAUUCGUUCGAUCGGCUCUCAGCUGGGCGACAUAUGUCAUCGGUCAUUGUUUUGCAGGCCAGGAGUGUCGGUAUACCCUCUCCCCGCUAACCAUUUUGAUCAACCCAAGAUGAUGAACCCUGAAGAUGGAACAAAGUGCAUGACAAGGUGGCCCAAAGGAAGCCAGCUUUUCUCAACCCCUCCAUUUGCCCCUCCAUUUGCCCCUCCAACCCCUCCAUCUCAACCCCUCCAAGAGCUCAGUUUGAAUAAAGACCUCUAGUGUGGUGAGACGAGCUAGCAAAUCAGAACUGAGGAAGAUUAUUACAGAGCCCUAUGAGAAACAUCUGAUGCUGCGCUGACUUUCCAAACUGUCCAAACUUUCGCAAACUGUCUCGUUGUGUGUUUCAUCGCCUCUGAACCCCCUUACCCUGAAUAGUUGCCCCUGAUCAUAGAUCUAGGAUUGUACCCAAUCCCGAUGUUAACUUCUAGGUCUCUCUGUCUUUCUUCCCCACACCACCCACACAGAGGCACACAAUAUAGUUUUUACAUUAGAUUAGUGUUG
This is a long non-coding RNA of Oncorhynchus tshawytscha (Chinook salmon), 763 nucleotides long. NCBI's taxonomy places the organism in Eukaryota, Metazoa, Chordata, Actinopteri, Salmoniformes, Salmonidae. The record is from Ensembl.